ACGCUCGACACCUACAGGAGGCAGCAGUGGGGAAUAUUGCACAAUGGGGGAAACCCUGAUGCAGCGACGCCGCGUGGAGGAAGAAGGUCUUCGGAUUGUAAACUCCUGUUGUUGGGGAAAAAGAGGAUGGUACCCAACAAGGAAGUGACGGCUAACUACGUGCCUGCAGCCGCGGUAAUCUGAGCGGGCUGGGCAAGGGC
RNAcentral lists this ribosomal RNA (200 nucleotides) under uncultured bacterium. RNAcentral describes it as "partial 16S ribosomal RNA". It matches the Rfam family "Bacterial small subunit ribosomal RNA", at positions 328 to 539 of the family's 1533-position model. The record is from RNAcentral.